Molecule: transfer RNA, 71 nt
Filed under: Loxodonta africana (African savanna elephant)
Lineage: Eukaryota; Metazoa; Chordata; Mammalia; Proboscidea; Elephantidae
Rfam family: tRNA
About the family: Transfer RNA (tRNA) molecules are approximately 80 nucleotides in length.
Source: Rfam by way of RNAcentral
ACAUUGGUGGUUCAGUGGUAGAAUUCUUGCCUUCCACGCAAGAGACCUGGGUUGGAUUCCUGGCCAGUGUG